UGGGGAAUAUUGGCACAAUGGGCGCAAGGCCUGAUGCCAGCCAUGCCGCGUGUGUGAAGAAGGCCUUCGGGUUGUAAAGCACUUUCAGCGAGGAGGAAGGUGGUGAGCUUAAUACGCUCAUCAAUUGACGUUACUCGCAGAAGAAGCACCGGCUAACUCCGUGCCAGCAGCCGCGGUAAUACGGAGGGUGCAAGCGUUAAUCGGAAUUACUGGGCGUAAAGCGCACGCAGGCGGUUUGUUAAGUCAGAUGUGAAAUCCCCGGGCUCAACCUGGGAACUGCAUUUGAAACUGGCAAGCUAGAGUCUCGUAGAGGGGGGUAGAAUUCCAGGUGUAGCGGUGAAAUGCGUAGAGAUCUGGAGGAAUACCGGUGGCGAAGGCGGCCCCCUGGACGAAGACUGACGCUCAGGUGCG
Molecule: ribosomal RNA, 411 nt
Filed under: uncultured bacterium
Lineage: Bacteria
Description: partial 16S ribosomal RNA
Rfam family: Bacterial small subunit ribosomal RNA
Source: RNAcentral